CCCUUAGAUGUUCUGGGCCGCACGCGUGCUACACUGAGUGGAUCAGCGGGUCAGGUUGCGCGAAAGCGUUUCCUAAUCUUUAAAUCCGCUCGUGAUGGGGAUUGACGGUUGCAAUUUUCUGUCAUGAACGAGGAAUACCUUGUAAGCGCGGGUCAUCAUCCCGCGCUGAAUACGUCCCUGCCCUUUGAACACACCGCCCGUCGCUCCUACCGAUUGAGUGGUCCGGUGAGGCUUUGGGAUCUGAGCGGAAAGAGCGUUUCGCUGUUUCUGCUCGGAAAACUCAGUCGAACCUUAUCAUUUAGAGGAAGGAGAAGUCGUAACA
Molecule: ribosomal RNA, 322 nt
Filed under: uncultured eukaryote
Lineage: Eukaryota
Description: partial 18S ribosomal RNA
Rfam family: Eukaryotic small subunit ribosomal RNA
Source: RNAcentral